This 499-nucleotide ribosomal RNA is filed under the name uncultured bacterium. RNAcentral describes it as "partial 16S ribosomal RNA". It matches the Rfam family "Bacterial small subunit ribosomal RNA", at positions 28 to 507 of the family's 1533-position model. The record is from RNAcentral.
GAUGAACGCUGGCGGCGUGCCUAAUACAUGCAAGUCGAGCGAACAGACGAGAGUGCUUGCACUCUCUGACGUUAGCGGCGGACGGGUGAGUAACACGUGGGUAACCUACCUAUAAGACUGGGAUAACUUCGGGAAACCGGAGCUAAUACCGGAUAAUAUUUAGCUUCGCAUGAAGCAAUAGUGAAAGACGGUUCUGCUGUCACUUAUAGAUGGACCCGCGGUGUAUUAGCUAGUUGGUGAGGUAACGGCUCACCAAGGCAACGAUACAUAGCCGACCUGAGAGGGUGAUCGGCCACACUGGGACUGAGACACGGCCCAGACUCCUACGGGAGGCAGCAGUAGGGAAUCUUCCGCAAUGGACGAAAGUCUGACGGAGCAAUGCCGCGUGAGUGAAGAAGGUUUUCGGAUCGUAAAACUCUGUUGUAAGGGAAGAACAAGUACGUUAGUAACUGAACGUACCUUGACGGUACCUUACCAGAAGGCCACGGCUAACUACGUG